Canis lupus familiaris (dog) is the source of this 1523-nucleotide long non-coding RNA. RefSeq lists it as uncharacterized. NCBI's taxonomy places the organism in Eukaryota, Metazoa, Chordata, Mammalia, Carnivora, Canidae. The record is from RefSeq and is a predicted model, not a curated record. The transcript has 5 exons.
AUGAUGUCUUCUCUCUCUUUGAAUAAGAGCAAAGAAAAUACCUUCCAAGUAAGGACUCCUAGAUUUUGGAGUUUGCAUCCAUCCUGCAUUCAUCACAUUUAUUUUACAUCUGACCCCAACUGUUUGCCUAAAUUAGAUUGAAAAUUAAGGAGCAAAGGAUGCCCGCAGCAAAGGAAUUGCACAUUUUUGGAAGUUUGAGCAAAACAGCAGAUGAAACAUCAGCUGGGCAUCGUGAGCUCGGACUCAUUAAAGCAGGCUGGGAGUCACUAAGAGAAAUAGGCCUAACCUGUGCAACAACAGUGAGGACUUAAUUUGUGAGGUAUCCUGGCAUGAACAGAGUUUUCUGCCCCCAGUCUUUGGAAAGUUUCACAGGCUGGGCACCUCUCCUCCACAGCCAACAAUGAUGUUUUGUGUCUUCAUCCCGGCUACAGGCCCUGGCACACAAACAGCCCAGCCUAUUCAUUCCUAGAGCAAUUUUACAUAUGCGAGACCGAAGCCAAGAUGAAUGUCUUCUUCCCCGAUGUGCUCAAUUCAACCACAUUCUGGAAAUAGAGAAAAUGGAAGAGCAAUGAUCAUCAGAAGGCAAGACGGUGAUUGUUAAAAGCCAUCUCUAUUUUUAUCUCCAGCACCUUGCUGAAAAAUCGUUCUGGAGGCCAGGCGUCCCGGAUCACAGCACCAGAGCAUUCAGCGUCUGCGGAAGGCCCGCUCCCUGCUUCGAGGACAGCCGUCUUCUUGCUGUGUCCUCACACGGAUGAAGCUGCUGAGGUUUACCAGGCAUCCAAGACCUUGCUCUCGACGCAUAACCUCUGAGCCCCAUGCAGCCCGCAGCAAGAGACCCAAGGCUGUUCUCAAAACAGUGCACCUGCUUAAGCCAUCUGUGAGUCCAAACAGAUCCAAUUUCCCUUGCACUUCAUUUAUACUAACAACAAUCACAUGGGUGAAGCUGAAUUCUUCAAUCAAGGCAUCGAUGGGGACAUAGCUGGAUCAACCCCAAGUAAUCUACACAGAUAGUGUGCGAAAAAACAUUUAUAUGCAGAAAUCCACUGAAAUCUUCUACUGCUUCGCUCAUUUCAGAAAUGAGGAAACUAAAGCACCUGAUCACAUAAGGUGACCUGCCUCUUAUAAGGUCACUGGAAGACUUACAGACUCAAUGAAAAAUAUUUUACAACAUCCACAUAUAAUUGCUACUCAACCCAGUUUUCAUCUGUUAAAUAUGUCCAUUUGAGAAGGACAUAGCAUUAGCUACAUCCUAAAUAGAUAUUUUUUAAGAUCCCGUGCUUAAAAAAAAAAAAAAAAAAAAAGGUGGUGGUGCCUGCAGUUGAAAGUACCGUGAUAAUAUGCCACUGGGUAAGUAUUGUUCAAGAGUAAACCAACCUUCCUGACCAUUCAUUUAUUAAGUCAGAUACUUAAGUUCUAAUUUGGACUUAAGUUCUAUCCUUUGUACUCAAUAUCCUGGAUAUAUCUCUAUGACUGUCUUUAUCCUGAGGGUUAGAAUAAAGCUUUGGUAAUGUCCUGAAUCUUGA